GUAGGGGGCUAGCGUUGCUCGGAUUUACUGGGCGUAAAGAGCGCGUAGGCGGCCAGGUAAGUCCGGUGUGAAAGCCCUCGGCUCAACCGAGGAUCCGCAUCGGAAACUACCUGGCUUGAGUCCAGGAGAGGAGGGUGGAAUUCCCGAUGUAGCGGUGAAAUGCGUAGAUAUCGGGAGGAACACCUGUGGCGAAGGCGGCCCUCUGGAAUGGUACUGACGCUGAGGCGCGAAGGCUGGGGGAGCGAACGGGGAUUAGAUACCCCGGUAGUCCCAGCUGCAAACGAUGGGCACUAGGUGUGGGAGGUAUUGACCCCCUUCCGUGCCCGCAGCUAACGCAUUAAGUGCCCCCGCCUGGGGAGUACGGCCGCAAGGUUG
Molecule: ribosomal RNA, 375 nt
Filed under: uncultured organism
Description: partial 16S ribosomal RNA
Rfam family: Bacterial small subunit ribosomal RNA
Source: RNAcentral